GAUCACAUUCAAUUUAUCAAUGUAAUUACCACCCAUAUGUUUGGCAGUGGUCAUCGGGACUUCGAAUGCCCUGUCCUUCGCCUGCCCAACUGUGCCGCAAACCCAGCUGAUCGGAUCCCUCUAUCCCAAAUCCGAGCAGUGAAGAAGCAUCUCGUGCAUCAUGGUCUAUACAAUGAACAGAAUCAUCAAGCCUCUAAAUUAAAAAGCAUCUUCCAUCAGAUGUAUUUGUAUGCAAGGUGGAUCUAUCUCUAGACAUCUCCCUCAGGGAUAUCUACAUCUCCCUCAGGUGGAUCUCAACAUCUAUCUCAGGAUCUCAUCACUAUCUGGAUCCCUCCCUAUAGCUAUCUCAGGAUCUCUUCAACGACUCUCAGGUUCCCCUGUAUCACCAGCUCUACUACCGACAGCAUUACAGCAGCGAAUUAUUCUCUUCUGCUACAACCAGUUGAACAACAAUGGACCGCUGUUUGAUUAACCGCAGAUGAAGUACUCCUGCCUCUAUUCUUUCUUUCUUCUUUCUUUACCUCGCUACAAGUGACACGCGGCCCCUCGCGGACAUCCCUGCCCUGACCCAGUCAGAGGUGGCAGCGGUCAGCAGGUCAGUCGGCCGGACGGCGACGGCGGAUAUUAUGUGUAUCUGGAUAGACCGCAAUAACCCCAGAAACUGGGUAUCUCUUGGAGGUUUACAUAGUAAUACGGGCAUGGGGACACUGGAAAUAGAAACAAACUCUUUGCAGAAGAAUAGGCAUCCACAAGCAGACUUUUUGAUUCAGGUGGUUGUGUUGAUGCGAUGGAAACAGACAGACAGACGGACAAACGGACGGGCAGCUACAUUAUCUGGACUGGACUGGUAUUAAUAUAGAUAUGGACAUAAUAUUGGAUGGCAUAAGGCUCUUAGUAUCGUGUGAAACAUGUGUAGCAAAUUGCAGCACCACCAGACUGGGAACUUGAGGUAGCUGGAGGCAUAUAUGUUCUGUUAUGAAUGGCAUUGGAACUGCAGGGUGUCUCCGUGUCGAGUCGCCCGCUGGUGCCACUGUGUGACUGUGUCUCGUAUACUAACCUGAGUUCUGUUUUGUUUUGAUGUGUUGCAGGAUGGCAGUGACCUGCAGGAAACUGUAUAGACUGCUCCUAACCUCCUCACUCGAAAACUGCCAGGCUGUCCUGACCGCCCUGCACGAUACAGACCUGGGAUGUGACAGUGGCCAGUCCCGUACCAUCAAUCUCUGUGUCCCCAAGUCUGUAUACGACAAGCUUACUAAGCCACCCAACGGCAGCAAAAUCACCGUGUACUACUUCUAAAAGCCUGACUGAUCAGUGCCUCAACCGCUCCGGUGACGGCGGCAGUGUCGGAACUCGACAACAGAUGGCAGCACCGUGUCCCGUCGGCAGCGCUGUUCUGUACACAAUGCACGUCUAGACCUUCAUAUCCAGAAGUGCUUUGAGCCGCCCUGUCCCAUGGGCUCAGGUCCGUGGGUACUUUACCGCCGUGCCAGGCUGGUUUGGGUUGAGUGGCCACCUACUAUGAACGUCAAACCCCUUAAGACCCCACUAUUUUGCGAUAAUUUUUAAAUGCGUCAACUUUCGUUGACAAUAUUCUGGCAAUGUAUGUUUCAGAACCUGCCGAAACUUUUAUUACUAAGGUAUUUUGACGCCAAACGAUUAUGGAAGGUACUUCUCAUUCACUCGUAAUGCUAAGGUCAAAUCAGGCCCGGGGAGAGGCUUGCGCUCGGCCACACUCGAGCCCCGCCACCAGCGCCAUCUGCUCUAAAUGCCAUCUACCAGCGCCCGCUACCGCUACCAGCUACCGCCCACCAUCAAGCCUGAAUGGAGCGAGAGACGCGAGUGACCGGUCGCCGGGCAAGGAGCGCCGGAGGGGUAGGGCGGAGCUUAGCGCUGACGUCAUUACGUGGCUCCGCCCCAUGAGCGGGUAGCCUCUACCCAAACAGCAGAUACGUUCCGUGAAAUUUAACAUUACGAGUGAAUGAGAAGUACCUUUCAUAAUCGUUUGGCGUCAAAAUACCUUAGUAAUAAAAGUUUCGGCAGGUUCUGAAACACUCAUUGCCAGAAUAUUGUCAACGAGAGUUGACGCAUUUACAAAUUAUCGCAAAAAAGUGGGGUCUCAUGGGGUUUGACGUCCAUAGUAAAUGCUUGAUCAUUUGAGCACAGAUUGCUACGUUUGUUGACACUGCUUUGAUAGGUAUAUUCAGUAUCUGAGAUGUAUCACGCUCUGGGCCACUGUCCAGCCGUCGGUAAACCGUUGUCACCGUGCCGGAGGUACCGCCCUGGUGGCGUCACGUGUGUUGUGACGUGACGUCACGCUGGCUCACACCGCUGUGCUGUUGUGGUUGUAGUUUCAGUUUAUACCAUAGAGUCGUUGGAGCUAGCUGUGAGGGUGUCCGGUCCGGGCGAUAUCGGACCUCGCCCGUCACUGUGUCGGACCGUCGGUGGUCCGGUCGGCUGUGGUUGGUUUGGACCGGAUAUGUCCGGUUCGGUGUCGCUCAUGGGAUAUCACGGGCUGAUGGCGAUUGAAAUACACAGUGGUUGAGACGUUCAAUACACAAA
Molecule: long non-coding RNA, 2559 nt
Organism: Amphibalanus amphitrite
Lineage: Eukaryota; Metazoa; Arthropoda; Thecostraca; Balanomorpha; Balanidae
Exons: 2
Source: RefSeq, a predicted model, not a curated record